Molecule: long non-coding RNA, 6031 nt
Filed under: Equus caballus (horse)
Lineage: Eukaryota; Metazoa; Chordata; Mammalia; Perissodactyla; Equidae
Description: lncRNA (ENSECAG00000053258.1)
Source: RNAcentral
UUCUUGUCCUAUCAGACUCCCAGAUCUCUGUCUGCUGCAGGGUCUAUUGGAAGCGAGAGUGAUAAGAGUCUUUUUUUCUCUUUCUAAAUUUAUAUUAGCAGGAGAAAAUAUUUGUGAAACUAGUUUCUUGAACUUUAGCAACUCUGGUGAAUUUGGUAAAGUACUCUUGAUCCAUUUCCUCCCAGAGACAGUCAUUGUUUUUCUGUCUAUUGUGUCGUUUGUCUUAAGAAGGAAAUUCCAUCGGCAGAGAGUUCAUGGCUUCUGCCUUUUGGAAAGAUUUCCCUGUUUAAGCCAACUCACCAUGUGAGGUUUUUCCUUCCAUCUUGUUAUAUGUCCUGAAAGCUUGGUAUUUUAAGCAAUGAGAAAAUUCUCUCCAGGCUCCACCAAUCCAGAAGGUGUAUUUACCGGGGCAUAUCUGAUGGCUAGUAGAAUAGAUUGGGGUUCUGAGUCUCUUUGUCCAGCUGUGCCAGCUCUCAAGGGGCUUUGUCACAAGAGGUCCUUCUUUCUUAAGACUAUCUUUGGGAGUAAACCUUUUGGAACUUAGGAGGACUGCAUCCUUUGCACUCUCCUUUGGGGCCAUGGUUAAGACAUAACAGGGCUUAUUGGUUUGAGUCACUAUCACGAUCCUACUCAUCAAUGGCCAGAUGGUGGAUCCUUUGAAUUGGAAAAACUUCUAAAUUGGAAAAAUAACUUUUAGAGAGCUCUCAUAUUUGCAUAAUGACUAGCCAUUAAGACUCCCUAACAAGAUGAGAGAACAGAAAAUUAGACUUAAAACAAAAAUCUAACGUAAAACCCCCUUCUUAAAAUCUGGCCCCAUCUGACAGUUUUAACUUCCUUUUUCACAUGAGAUUACAGAGUCCACACCAGCCUAAUCCCUAAGAGUAUACAGGUUACUCAUGUAAAUGCUGAGAGCCAGAAAAUGAAUUCAGCAGAAGCACCUGGAACAGGCAGUAGGGCUCACGUUACUGGGCGCUAUCAUCAGGCUCUGAUAGCUUCAGGCCCAUUUGUGCAAUAUCUUUUGUGGACAUAUCCUAGACUUACCCAUGGAAUUCUUGUCCCUGGGACAACAACAGAUCUUUGGAUUAUAAAGCCUUUUUACUUUCACUUUCAGAAGAUCCUACCAAACGUAGAAAAGAAUUAGAAAUAUCAAUGGCCAUUCUGUAGUGCCCCAUUAAGAGAGGAAAAUAAAAUUGCACAUUGUCUCUUCCUUUCCAAACCCAGACCCAUUGAUUAUUGACCCUUUCUCUCCCAAGGAUAGCUGUUGCCUUCUUGCUUGUCUGGUUUUGUGUCCUAAGGGCUUGGCUUGGCCUUCCACAUACCUGGGACAUGCUGGCUGGCGGUUCUUUCUUUUGGCUGUCUUUGGACGUGACUCCGAAUCUUAGGAAGGUUUACUAAAAGCCAAACAAAUUCAUGUUACCUCUGUUACAAAAUUUGGCAGCAAAGAAGAAAUUUGAUGGCUGACUUUGUCUAAUGUCUCAUGACGUUUUUAACUGUCUCCGGUGCUUUGUGUUAAAAGCUGAAACUUUUCUACUAAAGGAGCUGAAGUUUUGCAGCUAUGUAACCCUCUAUAUUCAUCUUUGAAAUCUUUUUGUCACUUUGGUUAAAUAGAUAACUAAAUAUUGUUUCAUAAUGAUCUCUGAUCCUAAUUUAGGCAAGUUUUUUUUUAAAGAUUUUAUUUUUUUCCUUUUUCUCCCCAAAGCCCCCCGGUACAUAGUUGUGUAUUCUUCGUUGUGGGUUCUUCUAGUUGUGGCAUGUGGGACGCUGCCUCAGCGUGGUCUGAUGAGCAGUGCCAUGUCCGCGCCCAGGAUUCGAACUAACGAAACACUGGGCCACCUGCAGCGGAGCACGCGAACUUAACCACUUGGCCACGGGGCCAGCCCCUAGGUAACUUCAGGAUUUGUCAGAGGAUCCUUGAAACAUCUCAAAAGAUUUGUUCUUGAGCCAGCCCUGAUGGCCCAGUGGUUAAAUUCAGUGCCAUCACCACUUUGGCAGUCCAGGAUCAUUUCCAAGUCUUGGAACCACACCACCCGUCUGUCUGUGCCAUACUACAAUGGUGGCUCACACAGAAGAACUAGAAGGAUUUAUGGUUAGGAUAUACAAUCAUGUAACUGGGGCUUUGGGGAGGAAAAAAAAGGAAAGGGAGGUUGGCAACAGAUGUUAGGUCAGGGAAAAUCUUUCCCUAAAAAAAAUAAAUAAAUAAAAGAUUUGUUCUCUCUCCUUAUAAAAAAAAGGGAAAUAUUAAGCUAAUUAGGUUUAUUUGAUAUGUUAAAUUACAUGAGAACCAUUGUUAAAUAAGAAAUAACAUUAAGCCUUCUUUAUUUUGUAUCUGUAUAUGUUAUAGGAGUUUCAGAAAUUAUGUGAAAUUCCUGGAAAUCUAAUAUGUAAUGUGUAAAAUGUUGUCUGUCAUCAAAACUGAGGGUUACACUGAAUAACAGGAAAGUGCCUUAGCUGAAGUUCAUGCAAAGGCAGUAAGGACAGAAUCUGUAAUGGUUAUGACACAUGUGGAUGAAGUCCAUUCUGUUUCCUCUCACCAAAAAAAAAAAAAUUGAGCUUCACUGCCAGACUUUGGCCUUCCUGAUGUCUUUGUAACAUAGCAACAGUACGUUCUUGAAUAACAAAAAUUAAGAUGAGUAAACAGUAGUUGUCGAUUAAACAAAUAGUUGGGGCUGUAGGAAACCAAACACGGCUGCUUGAUUCUUCCCAGUUCCCCGGAAAGCCCCAUUUUUUGGCUUUUACAUUCCUUCACCCACUAAAGGAAAGACUGUUUCUGCCCCCAGAGGCCUCCGAACUCCUCGCUCUGGGCCCUUUGAGCACCUGCAGCUGGACUUCAUUCUCCUGCCACUUAGUACGGGUUAUCAAUAUGUUCUUGUUAUCGUAUGUAUGUUUUCCAGGUGGAUUGAAGCCUUCCCUUGCCACAAAGCUGAUGCCUCACAAUGGCAAAGAAGCCUGUUAGAAAAUGUGUUUCCCAUUUGGGGUAUACCUUCCACAAUCUCCAGUGAUCGAGGGACCCACUUCACUAGGCAAAUCAUAUGAGUCUCAGUGAAAACCUUGCCACCUUCUUGGAGUUAGCACUAUUCCUAUCACUCUCAAUCAUCACACAAAGUCAAAAGACCUAAAGGAAAACUAGAUUCAAGAAGAACAAGAAUUAAUACAUAGGACUGAAUGAACUGAUAAAUAUGGUUAUAAUUUUUAUGACUUUUGGUCUAAAAGAUUACUAUUUUUUAAUCCUUUGUUUUCCAGACAUAAGAAAAUUUUUUUUCUCAUAAGCCAACUAUGACUACAGCAAUUGGUAAAUUAUGUGUUUGUAAACAUAAUUGAAACAUUUAUCUUUUUCUUCCUACCUUAUUCCUCCAGGAUUCAGAAAUUUAGUGAGUAUUCUUAUUUUCAUGGCAAUAUAAUUAUUUGGAUAAGUUCAACAGAAUCUGUUCUCCUUGUAGCAGGACACAAGUGCAAACUGGUUCUAUUACCAAGGCUUUGACUUGAAUGUCAUAUUUGAGAGAGAAUGUGCAUGGACUCAGGUAUGACCAGAUAGCUUUAAGGAAUCAAGGUGGACUGUAUGGAGCAAAUAAAGCACCUUGGAAGUAUUGGCUUGGUAUCUUGCUUAUAGUGUUCCCCGCAGCCUUACCAGGUGAGUAAGGAAGGUCACUUCAUGGCAGGUGCAGGAACCUCAGGAUAUCUUGGAACAUCGAGAAGAGAAGAACUCACCCAAAUCUAUAGGUAUGGCAGGCAAGUCUGAUGGCAAGUCCUUGGCUUGGUUUCCUGGCCUCAAGAGGCCUUUAAAAGUUCAAUUGGAAAUUCCUUGUGAAAGAUUCUAGCAAAGCAGAUUUAAAUGAUCCUAUGUGAUCAAUCACUAUUCUUGCUGCACUUAAGAAAAUAACAGGGGCAAGCUUGGUGGCACAGCAGUUAAGUGCACACGUUCCACUUUGGCGGCCUGGGGUUUGCUGGUUCAGAUCCCAGGUGCGGACAUGGCACUGCUUGGCAAGCCAUGCUGUGGCAGGAGUCCCGCAUAGAAAAUAGAGGAAGAUGGGCAUGGAUGUUAGCUCAGGGCCAGUCUUCCUCAGCAAAAAAAAAAAAAAAAGAGGAGGAUGGGCAGCAGAUGUUAGCUCAGGGCUAAUCUUCCUAAAAAACAAAAUAGAAAAAGAAAAUAGACCAAGUUUCUUGAGACCAGACAUUUUACAAACAAAUUAAUUUCACUGCGAUGAUCUUUGAUAGAAAUGGAUGUGAUUUUUUUUUUUUUUUUAAGAUUUUAUUUUUUCCUUUUUCUCCCCAAAGCCCCCCGGUACAUAGUUGUGUAUUCUUCGUUGUGGGUUCUUCUAGUUGUGGCAUGUGGGACGCUGCCUCAGCGUGGUCUGAUGAGCAGUGCCAUGUCCGCGCCCAGGAUUCGAACUAACGAAACACUGGGCCGCCUGCAGCGGAGAGCGCGAACUUAACCACUCGGCCACGGGGCCAGCCCCCGAAAUGGAUGUGAUUUUAGAGAGAAGAAUUAUGUUUCAAUAAAAACAUCUUUGUGGAUAUUAGAUUCUAAUGCUGGUCAUUGUCUUUCAAGGUUUUGUUUACAAUCUGCUAACUGGACUGGAUCCUGAAUUCUUCUCCCUUCUUCCAGUCUUGGCUACAACCUUCCAAACUAACAUAUCCAAUUUUCUCUCACCUUUGGACUUGGAAUCAUUGAGAACUACAUCUGCCCUUUUUCUUUUUCUUUCUUUUUGUUUAAUUAAUUUUUGUUGUUGUUGAGGAAGAGUGGCCCUGAGCUAACAUCCAUGCCCACCUUCCUCAACUUUAUAUGUGGGAUGCCUGCCACAGCAUGGCUUAACAAGCUGUGCAUAGGUCUGCACCCGGGAUCCGAACCAGCAAACCUCAGGUCGUCAAAGUGGAACGUGCGAACUUAACCACUGCACCACCAGGCUGGCCCCUGCUCUUUUUCUUGAAUCCCUGAAAACUGAAGCCCAACAACUUGACAUAAAUUUCAGAGAAAUCAUCACAAUGGCUUGCAUAUGGACAAUCUCCAUACCUGUUGCUUCAUGGGCCACUCAGAAAGAUCAUCAGAGACACUCAAACUGAAAACUAGGAAAAUCUGUCAGAUUGCUCUUGUUUGCCCUCAUUUCAUCUGAAAAUGCUUGGAACCAGACAUCUAGAACUCUCCUCAACUGACUGCCUUCAGAAUGCAGAAACUGGGAUUAUAGUCUGCUCCAGUCACUAACCAUUGUUUUUCUGUUGUUUCCAUAGAAAUGCUUCUUAUUAAAUACCUCAUUGCUUGCACCACAGGCCUCAUGUUGGGAGCCCACCUGCAUCACUGCCUCCUGAAAUUGGACACAAGUGUUUAAUUGGACUAAACGCCCCCCUAAACUGAGAGACUGGUUCAGUGAGAUGGAGCAAUCCACCAACCCCACUUGUAGAAUGUGAAACUUCUCAUGAAAUUUCAACAGUGGGACUGAAGGGGUUCAGAACAGGCCUCCCCCGGAUGCGUCACUUUGGCAUGUGGAACGUUUUGAGCUAAAGGAUGAAAAGAGUUCUGGAGAUUCGUUGCACAACAACGUGAGCGUACUUAACACCACUGAACUGCACGCUUAAAAACGGUUAACAUGAGAACAAACAGCUACACCUGUGACUCAGCCCUAAACUCCUCUUACGGGAGACGCUCCGGACACAGAAAAGGGCUGUGGUGCCGCCGCUUCAGCCUCACGGCCAUCACGGUGGCUAGAUUGGAGGAUUAAUGUCAGUUAUGCACGGAGAGGGCGAAAAUGAGCCUCAGCAGGGAGACCUGGGGAACACAGAGCCACGCCUACUGUCCAGCCUGCAGGUGAACUGGACCUCCUGGAUCAACCUCAGCAAAGGGACAGGACGUGAAGCCCCCAGCUUACCUCUGAACCUCUCCGUCUCCUCUGAGCCCAAACUACUGCUCCACAGAGUGAGCUCAAAGGGCUCACUUCCAACUUUCCUCGGUUGGAGGCAAAUGCAAUAAAAAUGUGCAGUCUGUGCCCCUCUCCACACCCACUUACACCCUUUGACAGCUGCACUCACCAGAUUCCAGUGC